GGGGUUGUAGCUCAGUGGUAGAGCACUUGCCUAACAUGUGAGAGGACUGGGUUCAAUUCUCAGCAACACAU
Non-coding RNA from Ictidomys tridecemlineatus (thirteen-lined ground squirrel), 71 nucleotides. The record is from Rfam. Lineage: Eukaryota; Metazoa; Chordata; Mammalia; Rodentia; Sciuridae.